UUGAACGCUGGCGGCAGGCCUAACACAUGCAAGUCGAGCGAGAAAGUACUUCGGUACGAGUAAAGCGGCGGACGGGUGAGUAACGCGUAGGAAUCUACCUGGUAGUGGGGGACAACAUGUGGAAACGCAUGCUAAUACCGCAUACGACCUAAGGGUGAAAGUGGGGGACCUUCGGGCCUCACGCUAUCGGAUGAGCCUGCGUAAGAUUAGCUAGUUGGUGAGGUAAGAGCUCACCAAGGCGACGAUCUUUAGCUGGUCUGAGAGGAUGAUCAGCCACACUGGGACUGAGACACGGCCCAGACUCCUACGGGAGGCAGCAGUGGGGAAUAUUGCGCAAUGGAGGAAACUCUGACGCAGCCAUGCCGCGUGUGUGAAGAAGGCCUUAGGGUUGUAAAGCACUUUCAAUUGGGAAGAAAGGUUGUACGUUAAUAGCGUGCAGCUGUGACAUUACCUUUAGAAGAAGCACCGGCUAACUCCGUGCCAGCAGCCGCGGUAAUACGGAGGGUGCGAGCGUUAAUCGGAAUUACUGGGCGUAAAGCGCGCGUAGGCGGUUUGUUAAGUCGGAUGUGAAAGCCCUGGGCUCAACCUGGGAACUGCAUUCGAUACUGGCAAACUAGAGUGCGAGAGAGGGAGGUAGAAUUCCAUGUGUAGCGGUGAAAUGCGUAGAUAUGUGGAGGAAUACCGGUGGCGAAGGCGGCCUCCUGGCUCGACACUGACGCUGA
Molecule: ribosomal RNA, 722 nt
Filed under: bacterium IMCC11436
Lineage: Bacteria
Description: bacterial SSU rRNA
Rfam family: Bacterial small subunit ribosomal RNA
Source: RNAcentral